CAUAGGCCUUAGUUUAGAACAUUCAUGAGAAGCAGGAGAGAAGGAAAAAGAUGAAGGUGGUGUAUUUUAAAGAAAAAGCUGUACUUGGUAAAAAGCAAAACCAACCAACCAAAAAGAUUAAUAUUAUGGGGCAGAAGUCCAGCUUAACAAGAGCUAUGUGUAGUCUGAGUUUUUUCUUCAUAGAAGGUAACACUUCAAUUCAUCAGACUAGUUUGUUUUGUGCUGUUUUCCUGAAUUCUUCUGUAUGGUGUCAGUUCUUGAAGAUGUUCUUUGUUCAUCUCGAACAGGUUUGUACAAGAUUUGGUGAAAGAAAACAUCUUACACUGUUAAAGGUUUGCAGUCACAAGCGAGGUUAUUAUUCCCCUGGUUUCCUCUACCAAAACUCAGCAGCAUCCAUCUCUAUGAAACAUACUUGAGGGUCUCCAAGCUUCUGCCAGCUGUGUUACCUUUGGAACCAAAAACUAAACUGUAUUUCAUCAGUGCUACGGAGCUCCAAUGAGAGGAUGUGCCAGCACAUUCAGAGGAAGAUAAGAGAGCUCUGUCCAUGCUCCAUCACAGUGAGCAUUUCCUUAGCCCUAGUGAUGAAUCAUAAUGGAAUCUGCUAAGUAGAAUUCUUAAGUUAAACUUUUUCUUUUCUACUGUAUUUGUCAUUUCAAUGAAGGGGGCUCCUUUUGUGGUGUUUGUUUGUUUUUUUUUUAAUGUGGUUUUAUUUUUCCCAGAAGCCCCAAAGAUGGCAAAAAUCAGUAGCAAAUAGGAGUCUCGCAUUCUGGUCUUCUAGAAAAUAUAAACCCAAAUUUAGAUUUUAUUUUUCCAUCUUCAUUUUCUUGGUUCAAACAACAGUUAUCUAAAGAGAACAUAACAUUUUGCACACAUCAGUUACUGACACCAAUUACUUUUAUCUUUUGCUUUCUCCAGGAGGCAAACAAGCCUUGUUAUCUUCAUUGAAUAGGAAGGAGCUUCAGGCAGGGGGAAGGGGUCGCCUUCAAAAAUCCUGUAGGCACCUCUCUGCAUCCUAGGGCUAUCUCUUAACCAUACAGCAUCUGAGUCAUGGACAAUGAAUUCUGGCCCCAUCUUUCGGUGUUGUCUUUAAUCACAAACCAUUCUUCUAACUUUAUUUCCCUGUAUGAAAAAAACUUUUUUUUUUCCACUUUACUGUGAGGAGGGGUUGAAAAAGGGAAGAUAAACGGUUUCUAGAAUCAAAUUCUAAUCUUUUUAAAUACUUGUGUUGUUAUGCCAGCAAACUCACAUCCUCUGCAGGCAAUAUAGCUCCAGAUGCUUCCUUUUCUUGAUGUUAUAAUAGAGGUCUUCCUGAAAAGUGUUUAGUUUUCAGAGCAUCUGAUUUGUUUUCUUUCUUUUUGCUUCUGCAGAACUAAUUUACGGGUUCAAUAUUAAAAUAAAUGUCAUUAAGUCAUAGUGAACA
RNAcentral lists this long non-coding RNA (1420 nucleotides) under Anser brachyrhynchus (Pink-footed goose). RNAcentral describes it as "lncRNA (ENSABRG00000001996.1)". The record is from RNAcentral. Lineage: Eukaryota; Metazoa; Chordata; Aves; Anseriformes; Anatidae.